AUUGAACGCUGGCGGCAGGCCUAACACAUGCAAGUCGAAUGGUAACAGGAAACAGCUUGCUGUUUCGCUGACGAGUGGCGGGCGGGUGAGUAAUGUCUGGGAAACUGUCUGAUGGAGGGGGAUAACUACUGGAAACGGUAGCUAAUACCGCAUAACGUCGCAAGACCAAAGAGGGGGACCUUCUGGCCUCUUGCCAUCAGGUGUGCGCAGAUGGGAUUAGCUAGUAGGUGGGGUAACGGCUCACCUAGGCGACGAUCCCUAGCUGGUCUGAGAGGAUGACCAGCCACACUGGAACUGAGACACGGUCCAGACUCCUACGGGAGGCAGCAGUGGGGAAUAUUGCGCAAUGGGCGCAAGCCUGAUGCAGCCAUGCCGCGUGUAUGAAGAAGGCCUUCGGGUUGUAAAGUACUUUCAGCGGGGAGGAAGGGAGUAAAGUUAAUACCUUUGCUCAUUGACGUUACCCGCAGAAGAAGCACCGGCUAACUCCGUG
This 490-nucleotide ribosomal RNA is filed under the name uncultured bacterium. RNAcentral describes it as "partial 16S ribosomal RNA". It matches the Rfam family "Bacterial small subunit ribosomal RNA", at positions 30 to 507 of the family's 1533-position model. The record is from RNAcentral.